Molecule: ribosomal RNA, 459 nt
Filed under: uncultured bacterium
Lineage: Bacteria
Description: bacterial SSU rRNA
Rfam family: Bacterial small subunit ribosomal RNA
Source: RNAcentral
GAUGAACGUUGGCGGCGUGCCUAAUACAUGCAAGUCGAACGAAGACUGUAGUAAUACUGUCUUAGUGGCGAACGGGUGAGUAACGCGUGGGUGACCUGCCCCGAAGUGUGGGAUAACAGUCCGAAAGGAUUGCUAAUACUGCAUAAUAUCCAAGAGAUUAGAUGCUUUGGAUUAAAGGAGUAAUUCGCUUCGGGAGGGGCCCGCGUCCCAUCAGCUAGUUGGUAAGGUAAUGGCUUACCAAGGCGAUGACGGGUAGGGGACCUGAGAGGGUGGCCCCCCACAAUGGAACUGAAACACGGUCCAUACACCUACGGGUGGCAGCAGUAGGGAAUAUUAGUAAUGGGCGAAAGCCUGAACUAGCAACGCCGCGUGUGCGAAGAAGGCCUUCGGGUCGUAAAGCACUUUUUGAGAGGAUGAGGAAGGACGGUACUCUCAGAAUAAGUCUCGGCGAACUACGUG